AUACGGAGGUUCCAAGCGUUGUUCGGAAUUACUGGGCGUAAAGGGAGCGCAGGCGGACAAGUCAGUCUAAAGUGAAAUCCCGGGGCUUAACCUCGGACUUGCUUCGGAUACUGCUUGUCUUGAGUUCGUGAUAGGAAGAUGGAAUUCAGGGUGUAGCGGUGAAAUGCACAGAUAUCCUGAGGAACACCGGUGGCGAAAGCGGUCUUCUGGCGCGAAACUGACGCUGAGGCUCGAAAGCGUGGGUAGC
Molecule: ribosomal RNA, 247 nt
Filed under: uncultured bacterium
Lineage: Bacteria
Description: partial 16S ribosomal RNA
Rfam family: Bacterial small subunit ribosomal RNA
Source: RNAcentral